AAAGUUAAAUGCAGAAAUACACAUUGCUCUAUUAUGGGACUGUGUGCCUCCAUCUUGACUCCCGAUCAGUCUUUGUUAUAAUCUCUCCCCUUUUCUACCACUGAGCAAAGUAUAUAUGGAGUUGGAAUAUCUCCUUUCUGUUUCUCCUUCUCGAAUGGAAAGUGUGCCUUGUCUGUGCCAAGCUGGAUUGGGAAGCCAAAUUCUUUAGUAGACAGAAUAAAAGACAGCAUCACAUAAUAAA
This is a non-coding RNA of Pelobates cultripes (western spadefoot toad), 241 nucleotides long. The record is from the annotation of a GenBank genome assembly. Lineage: Eukaryota; Metazoa; Chordata; Amphibia; Anura; Pelobatidae.